AGUGAACGCUGGCGGUAGGCCUAACACAUGCAAGUCGAACGGCAGCACAGUAAGAGCUUGCUCUUACGGGUGGCGAGUGGCGGACGGGUGAGGAAUACAUCGGAAUCUACUUUUUCGUGGGGGAUAACGUAGGGAAACUUACGCUAAUACCGCAUACGACCUACGGGUGACAGCAGGGGAUCUUCGGACCUUGCGCGAUUGAAUGAGCCGAUGUCGGAUUAGCUAGUUGGCGGGGUAAAGGCCCACCAAGGCGACGAUCCGUAGCUGGUCUGAGAGGAUGAUCAGCCACACUGGAACUGAGACACGGUCCAGACUCCUACGGGAGGCAGCAGUGGGGAAUAUUGGACAAUGGGCGCAAGCCUGAUCCAGCCAUACCGCGUGGGUGAAGAAGGCCUCCGGGUUGUAAAGCCCUUUUGUUGGGAAAGAAAAGCAGCAGGUUAAUACCCCGCUGUUAUGACGGUACCCAAAGAAUAAGCACCGGCUAACUUCGUG
RNAcentral lists this ribosomal RNA (492 nucleotides) under uncultured bacterium. RNAcentral's name for it is "partial 16S ribosomal RNA". It matches the Rfam family "Bacterial small subunit ribosomal RNA", at positions 29 to 507 of the family's 1533-position model. The record is from RNAcentral.